GAUGAACGCUGGCGGCGUGCCUAAUACAUGCAAGUCGAACGCACGGGCCCUCAGCGUGCUUGUCGGAUGUGAGCGGCGCACACGUGAGUGACACACGGGUAACCUAUCUAUACUACUUCGGGAACUUGGGGAGACCGGGCCUCUUACCGGGGAAUAUUUUUAGCCGCAGCAUUCGAACGGGAGGGACGGUCUUUCUGUCACUUAUAGAUGGAUCCCGGCUGCAUUAGCUGGUGGGUAAGGUAUGGGCUUACCAGGGCAACGAUGCAUAGCCGGCCUGAGAGGGUGAUAGGCCACACUGGAACUGAGACACGGUCCAGACGCCUAGGGGAGGCAGCAGGAGGGAAGUGUCCGCAAUGGGCGAAAGGGUGACGGAGUAAUGCCGCGUGAGUGAUGAAGGUCUUGGGAUCGUAAAAUUCUGUUACUAGGGAAGCACAUAUGUGUCCGUAACGGUGCACAUCGUGACGGUAGUUAAUCAGAAAGCGACGGCUAACUACGUG
RNAcentral lists this ribosomal RNA (497 nucleotides) under uncultured bacterium. RNAcentral describes it as "partial 16S ribosomal RNA". It matches the Rfam family "Bacterial small subunit ribosomal RNA", at positions 28 to 507 of the family's 1533-position model. The record is from RNAcentral.